UGUAAAAUUCCUGGUCCGUGAGACAGAGGCACCGCGCUGUACCAGGCGAAGGGCCUCGCCGGCAUUCCCGAGUGUGGAGAUAGCCCCUGCCUCGCACGGCCCAAUGGAAGCCUUGGACCCUUCCCGAUCUCCUCCCCAGCUUGGCGGGGCCCUGCUGCCUGCCCCGGAGACAGCUGCCUGCAUGAUGCUCAGAGGAGUCACACCAGGAGCCUCCCUGCUUCUCAGCUCACUACCAGAUCUCACGUCUGACUCUCCCGACGGAUCCGGGGCCUGGGACUCCUCAAGCUACUGCACGUGAGCCUGAGACCCAGAGAGGGUGAGUGACUUGCCCAGGGCCACCAGAUAAUC
RNAcentral lists this long non-coding RNA (348 nucleotides) under Ornithorhynchus anatinus (platypus). RNAcentral describes it as "lncRNA (ENSOANG00000048130.1)". The record is from RNAcentral. Lineage: Eukaryota; Metazoa; Chordata; Mammalia; Monotremata; Ornithorhynchidae.